UUAAAAACUGAAUAUCCUAUAAAAGUUGAAAAUUAAAAUCACAGCUUCUCUUUGUAAGAAAUGUAUGUAGAAAUGUGUUAAUGUUAAUUACUUAGAAGGGGUGUGUGUGUGUGUGUGUGUGUGUGUGUGUGUGUGUGUGUGUGUCUGUCUGUCUGUCUGUCUGUCUGCCUGUCUCUGUGUGCAUGCAUGUAUGUUGAGGCAGUGGUUUAUUUAUCCAGGUGGACAAAGGAUGAGCCAUGUGCUUUGUUUACAGGUGUAAUCAGACUCAACUCUUUCAUAGGCUUUUUAAGUGGUCUAAAGCACAAAAACCAAGAUUUUGUAAUAUUCAAUGUCUUCCUCAACAUUCUCAAGCUCUGACAUAGGAGCUGCUGUGACAAGUAGAUAGAUGAGGCACAGGAGAACACAAUCAAGGGCAUGCUUCAUUUCUUAAAUGUUGCAGAUAAUAUUUGAAAGCACUAUCCGUUGGAAGGGACCUAAAGAGAUAGUCACUGAAGCUAAUGUGAGAAAUAGCCAGACCCAGCACAGGAGCAUAGAAAAUAUGCUAUCUGAAGUUUUCUGCAGGGAACCACGACUACACCUAACAGUGACUUUGAAGUCUCCAAAAAGAUGAUGGGGCCCCACAAUGAUGAUUCCAUCAAGACAGUGAUAAUACCACUAAGAUGACAAACACCACCCAAAGAUUGGAUUUGGACUACAAACUGCUCAGGACAAUUUUGAGAUGACUAGCUGAGAUGAUCUAGCCUCACAGACUACUCAAGCAAGGCCUUGAGACAAGCUCUGUACUUUCCCAUUAUGCAGAGACUGGACAAAUUAUACAGCUAACUCUUGCAGGGCUUGACAACCCAAAAAAAAUUCUUUUCAGAAUCCCCUAAAGAUGCUUUCACUCCCAGACCACAGGAAGUAAUUUUAAGAACAUGACGUCCACAUUCCCAAAGGUGGGGUGGGUGGUUUUGGGUCUUUCAAUGGGUUAUGGAUAAUGGUCAUUGUUUAGGAUGGUUUGUUACAAGUUGCUAAUGGAUAAUGGUCAGGAAAAAAAGCUAAGCAAGGAGAUUAGAUUCAGGGUUCUUGUUUAAAAAAAGAAAAAGAAAAAAGAAGAUAUAGAUAAGAGGUAGAUUACUGAAUCUACUCUUUAAAAACUAUAUAGAAAUGAAAGAGGGAAAGGUAGAUUAUUGAAUCUACUCUGAAAAGAAGAAAAGAAUAAUAUAGAUACGAUAAGAUAAAAGGUAAAUUAUUGAAUCUACUCUGAAAAAAAAGAGAUAUAGAAAUAAUAGGAUAAAGGGGUAGGUUACUGAAUCUACUCUGAAAAAAAGAGGACAUGGAUCUGAUAAGAUAAAAUGGUAGAUUAUUGAAUCAACCUUUAAAAAGCAACUAAUAGUUUUAAAUGUUUUACAUUGGAUUGGAUUUUCGUAUAUUUUAUACAAAUUAUGUAUAUCGAUACAAAUUUGAGAUUGAUUUUUUUAGAAAAUACUGUACAUAUAUUUCUAAUCUUGUUCAAGAUAUUGUUCCUAUACACCUCAUUUAACAAUGUAAUACAAAUUGCUAGUCCUUGAAAGCUAUUAUUUCCAACUAUUUAGGAUAAUAAAGAAAUAUGUUAGUAGUCAUUACAAAUUAAUUUGUAGUUAUAUUAGGUAUGUUUUCAAGAUCAAGCAGAAAUAUAUUUUAGAUAGACAGGUCAUCUUCAAACACUUUAGAGAUCUACAGAAUAUGGCAUUUAAGAUGUUUUAAUAACAUAGAUUUCUUUUUCUUUUUUUAUGACAAUGAGACAUGUCUGCUCCUGGCAGCAACAAUCUGCUUCAGAGAAGACGAUGGGCAUUGAAGAAACUCCAUAUGGAGUUAACUUUCUUGGAGGCAAAGUUAGCCACUGGGCAAGAAAAUGCCCUUGCCUCGACUGCUGACAGUAUGCUGUGCAAAAUGGACAAAUAGGACACAAAAGAAAGGACAAAUCCUUGCCAAGUCAAGGUAGGAAGGCUCUUUAGAAAAUUCUGCUUCACAGAUUAAUCUGUCAGAUAUGCUAGGCCUGUAGGCUGAAGAUGGAUGCCAAUGUUGCAGAGAAAUCUUGGGUAAUUGUCCGGGAAGCCAGUUGUUUCUGUCAUUUCUCACACUUUUUGAAAGUUGCUUGUUUGUACUUCCUCCUUACUCAAUUAAUAUUAUUUCCUUCUCAGGUCUCUGAGGGAGUUGAAGAUUAGCUAGUUAAUAGUUUUCCUUGUUAACAAAUUUAGAAAAGAAACUCACUAAAGAGGUGUAAAGUGUAUAAAUUUGAAAGACAUCCAAAGAUAGUUUUCAGUUGGUAAUACAAAUUAGGGUAGAAUGUGAAUUAGGUACAAUAUUUUGUACUCACCAAAAUAGGAUAAAUAAUGGAGAUUUUGUUUGAAUUUGUCAACUACUAAUGGAGUGGACAUUGUUCAUGCAUGUAAUUCUUGACUAUAUAUAUUGUAUAUACUUACUGUACUUAUUGUAUAUAGUUUUUCUUAUAUUAGUUAUAACCUUCUUUUAUUAUUUUAGACAAAAAAAGGGGGAAAGUGGUGAUAUAUUGUGUACCCUAAUAAACUUAUCUGGGCAUCAGAGGACAGAACCAGCCACUAGAUUAGACAUAGAGACCAGACAGUGGUGGCAUAUACCCUUAAUUCCAGUACUUGAGAUCUCAUGCCUUUGCUUAGAAAGUGCCCAUGCCUUUAAUCCCAGGAAGUGACAUGGCUAAGUGGAGAAUGGUAUAUAAGGUGUGAGGAGACAGGAACUAACUAAGCAGCUGUUCAGCUGAGACCCUCAGGGGUGAGGAGUAAGAGGCUUUCAGUCUGAGGAUUCGUGGAAACAGGAUCAGCUGAGGAGUUGGCAAGCUGAGGUUGGCUGUGACUUGUUCUGCUUCUCAGAUCUUUCAGCUUU
This is a long non-coding RNA of Peromyscus californicus insignis, 2880 nucleotides long. RefSeq lists it as uncharacterized. The record is from RefSeq and is a predicted model, not a curated record. NCBI's taxonomy places the organism in Eukaryota, Metazoa, Chordata, Mammalia, Rodentia, Cricetidae. The transcript has 3 exons.